Molecule: non-coding RNA, 3057 nt
Organism: Myodes glareolus (Bank vole)
Lineage: Eukaryota; Metazoa; Chordata; Mammalia; Rodentia; Cricetidae
Source: RefSeq, a predicted model, not a curated record
CAGACUUACAGAAAUCCACCUACCUCUGUGUCCAAGUCCUAGGAUUAAAGGUGUGCUCCACCAUGCCUGGCUCUUUGCUUUGUAUUUUGACAAGUUGACUAUAAUGUGCCACAGAGAUGUUCUUUUCUGUUCAUUUUUGCAGGGGGUUUCAUUUGCUUCCUGUGUCUGAGGUUGGGUUGUUUCUAUGGUUUGAGGAAUUUCUGCUGUGUGUUCAUGCUGAGCUUCUCAACCUGCGAAUGCUUGGGCUUGGUCUCUUGGCCAUAUCCCAGGAUUCUUGGACACGUGGCUAUUCUCCUGGUUGUUGUCUGAAUACAGCAUUCUUUUACUCUGAUGUCCUUUCUUUUGUGAGUCUGCUGGAUUCCCAUUGUGUUUUUUCAUUUAAUUAGCUGAAAUUUUCAUCUCCAGCCUUUCUAUUUCAUUUUUUUUUGUCUCAAGAUUCAGUUUCCUUGACGAACUUUUCUUGAAUGUUGCUAGUUUUUUCUUUUGCUGACUUUUUCCUUAAUAUCACUGCUUUUCUCUUUCAGGUUCAGGAUGGGAUUCACCUGCUCAUUUGAAUUUUCCUUGAGGUACAGGGCACAGGGCCGUGUGCCAGAAAACUCCCUUCCCACGUGCUCUCUCUGCCAGGCAAGAUUGGCUUCACUCAGUGAGUUCCCCUUUUUGCUUAUGCUGGUAGGGUUUGGGGUGACCCAUUCGCAUUUUGAAUUUUCCGCUGAAGUUGUGGGCCCUGGAAACCUGACCUGUGCAACAGAAGCCAGGGGCUUUUGCUGGGGUGAAGAUUUCUUGGCCAGGGACACCUGCCAUUCAAUUUUCACAGCCCAGUUUUCGACUCAAGAGUUGUCCCAGCAGACCGCUGUGACAGACUUGAGCUCCAUGAUUGGGCAUAGACUUUUAAAAUGGGUUUCUUGCGAUUUUAGGUCGAUUCCUAAAACACCCUUAGAUGGCCUUUUACAAAAAAUUCUUUUAAAUUGGGGCUAUCUAACAUAAAUUUUCUAAACAUAAAGUUUCUACAUGCAUGCUCCUGUUCCCACCCCCCUCUGCUUCUCCUCCACAGCCCAUGGUUUGUCCUGCCCCACUUCCACUUCUCCAAAGCCCUCGGGGCUCUGACUCUGUGCUCAGAGGCUUGUCCGGCUCCUGUUCCUGUCCUGUUCUGGAUUCGGGGAUCUAAUCCCGACUCCCUUUCCAUUGCCCAUCCCUUCUAAAGGGAGCUCGCCCAUCAACUGUUUGCUGUGCUUCACUGGCCUCCCUCUGCCAUCUAUGCUGGGACCUCUUUCCUGUCCCCGUUCUGCUUGCUGUUUGUAUCACUUUAGCCCCCACCUCCAAGCUGUUUACUGUUUCUCUCACUCUGGGAUUUUAAAAAAUUCAUUUUUUCCCCAUGUCCUUCUACUCUAAAACUCUGUAAAUGUUUAGUCCUUAUGUUUCUGUUCCCUCUUACAGCGUUUGCUAAUCUGGCUCUUAGUGAGACCACCUCUGUACUUUACUGGCUUUUGCCACCUACCUAUGCCAAAAAUUUUAAGUUGGUCAGCUGACACAGGUUUCCAAAAGUGUUUUAUUUGUCUGUCUGUUAGAAUGAUGUGGUGCACAGUAUGUCUGUGUAAGUAUGUGAAUUUAUAUUUUUAUGUGCAUGUGUGCUUGUUUUAAGAUAAUUCCAGACUAAAACAGCUCUGGAAAAAUACAAACACAUGGGUAGCCUCCAUUUAAACCUCAUCACCAUCUUCGGUAAGUGUACCCAUGUGUGCUAGUCCGCCAUCUUUGGUAAGGGUACCCAUGUGUACUAGUUCACCAUCUUUGGUAAGGGUACCCAUGUGUGCUAGUUCACCAUCUUUGGUAAGGGUACCCGUGUGUACUAGUUCACCAUCUUUGGUAAUGGUACCCAUGUGUACUAGUUCACCAUCUUUGGUAAGGAUACCCAUGUGUGCUAGUCCGCCAUCUUUGGUAAGGGUACCCAUGUGUGCUAGUUCACCAUCUUUGGUAAGGGUACCCAUGUGUACUAGUUCACCAUCUUUGGUGAGAGUACCCACAUCUGCUAGUAAUCUUUAACUUAUUAAAAUAUUCCUUUUAAUCUUCUUACAUUUACUAGCAUUGGUAAACUGUAACUAACUGGAUAAAAUACACAACUAAAUUUAGCAUAUGCCCAGUUUGAAAUAACAGGUAAUGGUACCUAAUUCUCAAGUGCCUUUACAGAUCUGCGGGUAUGGCAUUUUAACAAAAGAGCUUCUAACACAUAGACAUGCCAGCUUCUGCAGCACCCUUUAGGUCCUAAAGAAGACCUUCUGCCUCCAGGCCUUGCCUUUGGGUUUGGUAAAAACCUACCCACACAGCAAAAAGCAGCCUUUCACCUCUUCAACUUCCUGAAUGCCUUCCAGGGAAUUGAUCUUUUUAUCCUGCAAAGACAGGUAGACUAAAUCUUCCCCCUACAGGACAAAUCUUUGGGCCUCUUGUACUAACGGCAAGCACUGCUUCUACGACCGCUGUUCGCCAAGGACUAAGGAGAGGAAUUGGGAUUGCCUGUGUAGCUAAAAAAGCUGUCUCAUUUUUGCUCAUUUAUCCUUCCCAGAUCUGUCUAAUGGCAUUUGACGACUUAAGGUACUGUUAACUUACUACUUCAUUCAUGACAUUUAAUGAAGUUUCCUGCUAAAAUACGGACAGGUGUGCCUAACAGGUUUCAGGUGUGUCUUAAAAAAUCCAGGGUUCCCAAUUUCUUUAAUUGUCUUAACCUAAAGCAAUAGCCUUUUGUUAUGACACUAAGAUGUAAAUCUGUUCCAUUCUCUUACAGGUUCUGGGAAAAGUUCUGCUACAUUAACCCCAGUCAGUUUCAAGCAUAUUUUACAGGUCACUCCUGCUGCCUGGGCCAAGACUAACUUACAAAGCGCUCUUCAGACAAUGCCAAACACCUGUAACAGCUCCUGGAACUUCACCAUUGGUACCAACUCUCCUAGAUCAAGGACACCUGCCAACUAAAAUCUGGUUUCAUCUGCUAUUGUGUCCCAUCCCAUGGCUAAUCACAUUUCGUAGGGCCAAUAAUAACAAUAUUUUUUUUUCUCCUAGCCACCUACCUUC